UGAGGAAUAUUGGUCAAUGGGCGCAAGCCUGAACCAGCCAUGCCGCGUGCAGGAAGACGGUCCUAUGGAUUGUAAACUGCUUUUAUUCGGGAAUAAACCUCCUUACGUGUAGGGAGCUGAAGGUACCGAAUGAAUAAGCACCGGCUAACUCCGUGCCAGCAGCCGCGGUAAUACGGAGGGUGCAAGCGUUAUCCGGAAUCAUUGGGUUUAAAGGGUCCGCAGGCGGUCAUAUAAGUCAGUGGUGAAAGCCUACAGCUCAACUGUAGAACUGCCAUUGAUACUGUAUGACUUGAAUUCGAUCGAAGUGGGCGGAAUAUGACAUGUAGCGGUGAAAUGCUUAGAUAUGUCAUAGAACACCGAUAGCGAAGGCAGCUCACUAGGUCUGGAUUGACGCUCAGGGACGAAAGCGUGGGGAGCAAACA
RNAcentral lists this ribosomal RNA (422 nucleotides) under uncultured Fluviicola sp. RNAcentral describes it as "bacterial SSU rRNA". It matches the Rfam family "Bacterial small subunit ribosomal RNA", at positions 355 to 774 of the family's 1533-position model. Lineage: Bacteria; Pseudomonadati; Bacteroidota; Flavobacteriia; Flavobacteriales; Crocinitomicaceae. The record is from RNAcentral.